UGGGUUUGACAUCCUCUGACAGUCCCUGAAAGGGGAUCUUCUCGAUUUAUCGGGACAGAGUGACAGGUGCUGCAUGGCUGUCGUCAGCUCGUGUCGUGAGAUGUUGGGUUAAGUCCCGCAACGAGCGCAACCCUUGUUUUUAGUUGCCAGUACUAAGUUAGGCACUCUAAAGAUACUGCCACGGUUAACGUGGAGGAAGGUGGGGACGACGUCAAGUCCUCAUGGCCUUUAUACCCAGGGCUACACACGUGCUACAAUGGGCUGUACAAAGGGCUGCAACGCCGUGAGGCGAAGCUAAUCCCAAAAAACAGUCCUCAGUUCGGAUUGGAGUCUGCAACUCGACUCCAUGAAG
This 352-nucleotide ribosomal RNA is filed under the name uncultured bacterium. RNAcentral's name for it is "bacterial SSU rRNA". It matches the Rfam family "Bacterial small subunit ribosomal RNA", at positions 976 to 1325 of the family's 1533-position model. The record is from RNAcentral.